Plasmodium berghei ANKA is the source of this 185-nucleotide non-coding RNA. The record is from RefSeq and is a predicted model, not a curated record. NCBI's taxonomy places the organism in Eukaryota, Apicomplexa, Aconoidasida, Haemosporida, Plasmodiidae.
UUUAUAUAUUAUACGUGAUGCAUAAAAUAAUAAAAAUAAAUAUAAAUGACUUCGAACGUUUUGUUUGAGUUUUUUAUUUUUAUGUCUUGAUAAGUCAACUGAUUGGUUAUACAAUGGAGAUGUAUGCAAAUUUACUUUCAUCUUUAAAACCAUUCAGUGUUAAAUUGAGAUAACAAAUGAAUACA